This 69-nucleotide transfer RNA is filed under the name Urocitellus parryii (Arctic ground squirrel). Its description in RNAcentral is "Spermophilus parryii (Arctic ground squirrel) tRNA". It matches the Rfam family "tRNA". From Rfam's summary of the family: Transfer RNA (tRNA) molecules are approximately 80 nucleotides in length. Their secondary structure includes four short double-helical elements and three loops (D, anti-codon, and T loops). Lineage: Eukaryota; Metazoa; Chordata; Mammalia; Rodentia; Sciuridae. The record is from Rfam by way of RNAcentral. RNAcentral also lists the same sequence under 1 other name.
GGGGUUGUGGCUCAGAGGUAGAGUGCUCGCCUAGCAUGUGUGAGGCCCUGAGUUCGAUCCUCAGCACCA